GGCGGCAGCGGGGCCGUGCCCGUUGCAGGGGUAUGCCGGUGUGCCCGCAGGGACGGCCGCCGCUGCCCGCGCUUCGACCGCCCGCCGUGCUGAGGGGGGCGCGGAGGGGCCGGGUCCGCUGCUCUCAGGUGCCCCCGAAUCGCACUGCGGGCUUGCGCGGCUGUACGUAACGUGGAAGCGUGGCUGUGUACUGCGGGACAUCGUGUGGUGCAGCCUGGUCCCGGGCGCAGCGUGCUCGGUGUCACCUCAGGGCUGGGCCCAAACGCGGCUGGAGCGCUGUCCCCACGGCCUGUGUGCAGCUGCCGGGCGGCUCUCACUGCUGGUCCCCGGGUCCUUAGGAAUUCUCUGAGGAUGCCCUUACAUACCCCCUACAUUUUGGUUUUCCCAGCCAAAUUCCAUUUUGGGUAUGAGUGUCAUACUGAAGAUGGAGACCGUGGAUGAUUCUCCAUAAUUUUUUUUUCCUAUUUUUUCUUCUUUUUCCUUUUAUCUCCGCAAUCUAAGCAAAUCUUGUGACUACUGGAGGUCUGACUCAUGGCAGCCUAAUGGUUACGCUGAUAACUUCUUAACAGAAAAGCUUCUGUGUAUUUAUAAAAAAUGCUUCAGCUUAUCUCGUGAUAUCUGAUGUUCUUGUAAGAUCUGCUCAAGGCACAUAAUUACACACGAGGCAUUAGAGUUUUUAUCUUUUUUUCAGAUCACACAUUGCAAAGAAAAAAAAAAAUUGUUAGUUUUUAACUAGCUUCAGUGUCUCCUUGAUGUGAAUGUAUUCUAGUGGGGUGCAAACCAAAGCAUUAAAGAAAUAUUAUUUCUUAGAACUCUGUUGAGCGUGGGCUCCUGUCACUAAUUUUGCAAUAACUUAAACAGGAACAUGGUGAGGCCCUCUGCGUCUGAGUAACACAAGUACGUGCAGUGCCUUCUGUGUUAGUGUCUUCUGUGGUUUGCAUCAAAACAAAAGGACAUUCAGGAUUUGCUGGUGCUCUGCUUCAGAAGGACCAUGGUGUACAAGAUGUAGCAUUAACUGUCCCACCCCACUACCAAGUACUUCACUGCUGCUGGGCAUGCCUUGUCCUCAGACCAGGCCUUGGCGUAAGCUCUGCUCACCUUGUCAGAGCUGCUUAAAUAAAUCUCUGGUAGGCAUCAGGAGCAACCAGGAAAUUUCAAACACAAUUUUGUCAGAAUCAAAUCUUUCUUAGAAUAUAAAAUGGAAUAAUGUUUCUGAGAUGUCCAAUCUGCCACAUCUCCCAAGAGGACCUCACUAGGGCUGGAGAGACUUCUGUGGAAGAAUUCCUCACUUGCCUGCCUCGUAUCAAACUAGAUAAGCUAGACAAGACAUUUCCUUCAUUACAAAGGAACUGUUUAAACCAAGAAUUCUAAAGAGACCAUUCUGAAGUUAAAGAUUGUGUAUUUGCCUGAAUUUUUCCUCUUGAGGAACUUUAUGCAGCAGCUGAGGAACACCAUAAGGCAUCUAAAACUCAGGCCAAGACUGGUCAUCACUGAGGAAUGGGACAAGAUCUGAACAUGGAAGCAGCCAGAAACACACACAUUAUGCACGAGGGAAGAUCUCCCAUACAGCACAGAGCUGCAGUUUAGCAGACGAAGAAGCAGUAACCAAGCAAACUGUACCAGGGAAGCUUUUGCAUUGUGGGGGAAGGCGCAGACGAUUGGAUUUAACCAUCUGGAUGGAAUUUGACUGGAUUAACUUUGGCACCGUUUCACAUACUCUUAAUUCAUUAGUGAAUGGAGUAACUAUAUUGGAAAACUACUGGGGAAAAACAACAUUGCCUCUGAUACUACUGUCACACCAGACAGAGCACAAUCCCAUACAGUCUCUCUCUGUUUUUCUCUCUUCAUUGUCUCCCUGGCUAGUUUUUUUGUGCCAGUGUGUGUCUUCCCAUAUCAGGAUUGGCUGGCUUCCCUUGGUCUGAGAUCUUGGCAUGUACAGAGCUAUAAUUACCCAAUAGUAUGGCUUGAUGACUGCUAGAAAGGGUGGGAGUGCCCCCUCUUGAACAAUAAAACCCCUUGUAUAGAAAAGCCUAACUAAACAAAACAAAAUAAUGUGUAAAAAUGGGUAGUGCUGCCACAAAAGCACUUUGCCAGCUGGAGAGUCUAUACGAAGUAUGAGUAAGAGGCUACUGUGUUUCACUCCUUUUCUGCUAGUGAAAGAUCCCAUUCUACUCCAUAAAGAGGUAUCUGUUAAUGUGUUCUGAUUUCAUGCAGGUCUAGGCAAGUGUAACUCCUUUCAUUUCAGUAACGUUGCUCCUCGUUUAUGCAAAGAAUAAGAUCUGAACCUGGACCAGAAAUUUGGGUGAGCAUAUUCAGACAGCACUGUUUUCUCUCAAGUUGAUACUAAAUAUUAAAAAAAAAAAACAACCACAAAACAAACAAACAAAAAAAAACCCCACAAACUUUCAUCUGACUCUCAAUACAUAGCAUUUUGCAUUUCAGUCAUGGCAGCUUGCACUUAAAAACAUCUGUGUAACAAGGAGCUAUUACAUGUUAAUAUGCAAGGAAUUUAAGUAUUCAGAAGUACAGCUCACUGGAAAAGCAUGUGUCAGCACAUAUGUAUGCUCAGGCUGAGCCCUUUAUAUGAAGAAAAACAUCAGGGAAGCUUUAGCCUACAGCUCCCUAGAAGAUCAGCCUUUUUAACCAAACAAAUGGAGAGCUGUGUUUGAAGAAAUUAUUUAAAGAGAAGCUAAAAGUUUCAGAGACAGAGAGCCAAGCUGAAUAUUGUGAACUAUAUAGACUCAUCUCUAGAAUUGCCCAUGUGAAACAUUCUCAAAAGUAUUAUCUAUAUUCAGUUGAAAAUAGUCUUUCCUCGUUUAAUUUUAAAAUCAAGAGGUGAAAAAAAAAGGGAGGAAAUACUCUGAAUGAAAAUGAAAGCUCUUGAAAUGUCCAAGUUCUCAACAGAGAAGUGUCCAGGCAUAAGCCUGCGUUGACUUUUAGCAGGGUACUACAAUUGUGAAUAGCUGUAGGAAUACAUUUAGAAUUGUAUAGGUGCUUAAGAUCUUCCUUUUCAAGAAAAAUCUCCUAGGUUUCUGUGCAUAUCCCUGGAAGAUACAGGAAAUGGAAACAUGGAGAAGAGAACCAGAAAUUAAUGCACUUAACAAAAGAAUAGCAGAUGCAUCACUUUGAAUGUGUACUUCCUAAAUAUUUAGUUCAACUUUCUCAAGCCCUAUAUGGAUUAGACAGUACCCUUACCUUUGAAAAAUAAUGGAAAAUUAAAAACUGUUCAACUAAAUGGGGCAAGAUUUUUCUUUUGUUUUCUGUUUGAACCCGGAAUUCUGAUCACUCUCAAUGAGCGUUGGUAUCGAUGUCCUUUUGAGUGGAAAGGCUGGUCUAGGGAACUAGUAAGAAAAUUAACCUCUGUGUAUGAUUUUCAAAGUGCUUUCCUCCUCAGUGGAAAGGUACCAAAGACAUAAGCAAGCCGACAGAAUUAAAAGUGAGGCUCUCGCAUGAACAUUCAAGAAUCUUCCUUAAACACAGGAAAAGUCGUCAUGUUUUUUGGAAUCAGUUUCCAUUUCCAUGGAUGAAAAAGGAAGAGAAGGCUGCCUCCUUCAGCAGGGUGAAGCUCACUUCAGUUUUGUUUCUGCUGCUAUUAGCAACCAGUGAAAUACACUAUAAGUGGUCUGAAGGGAAAGCUUAAAAUGUAUUCUGCCAUAAAUCUCUCUGCUUUUUCAUUUACUAAAUUUUAAGCUACGUAAUCAUGGAGAUAGUAGCACUGUUUGCUUUAUUUUUGAGAGUAACAACCCACUGAUUUGCACACACACAUGGAACCUAAAUUCACUUUACUGCUCCACUAUAGACUAUGGGCAAGACUUUCAAAAAAAAAACCCCCAUCCCCAUUUCUUAGAUCCCUUUCAGUAAAACAGCAAUAACAUCUCACUCUUUCUAAGGGUAUCUGUAAGUCUAAAAUCGUGAAAACAGCAAGUUGUUCGUGUAUUAUAGAAAAGGAGACCAAAGAAAUAAAAUGAUUAGAUUACUGUCCUCAUAGAUACGAUGCCCUACUGCGUUAUUCCUGAUGUGCACACUAAUAUUGCUUGAUGCAGACAGUGCCUGUAUCCAUCAUUAAACAUGAAAUGAACUCCUGUAUGUUGUAGCACAUUCCGGCUCGUGUAGCGUAUUAACUCUGCUGUCAUCAUCACUCAACAAGAAGAUACAUCAAUUGAUUGCAGAAAUGCCAGUGUGAGAAUGUAAGUUCAUAGGUUUAAAAAAAAAAGUCAUAUUUUCUCCAUAAAUGGAGUCAGUAUAAAUCAUCAGAGUCUGCAAUAUGGGCUGGGGAAAAUUAGUCACUGACCUACAAACACUUCCCACUGGAUGUCUGUGAAUCCAUUUCACAGAGUGAAAAGUGACAAAAACUAAAGCAGAUGAAGAAGCAGGACCGUGUGGUAAAAUGAAGAAAAGACUACCCUAGAAAUGUGAAGAUACAACCAAGAAGUAACAAAAACACAUUAAUACUACUGUUCAGUUGUUCUAAGUAGUGAAAAGAUGGAAUGACUCGUUUAAAGUUAAUUUUUAAUAAGAAUCCAGUAAUACUUUUCAAACUCUUUAGAAGAAGUAAUUAUGUAUUUUCAGCACCCUGCAGUCCUUGUAGCAGCUCUGGAACUUUAGCAGCUCACAAACCAGAAGGGUUUAUCAUCUUCUAUUGCAUCCAGAAAUCUGUGGUUAAACAGGAAACUCAGUGCAGCGAUUUCUAGAGAAAAAUGCUGACUAAUAUUGGCAAGAAUCUAGUCAGUUUGAAUUAAACUUCAAAUUAACGAGAAUGUAAUACACGAAGAGGGUUUUAUCUCAAAUAAAGAUCCACCUUCCUGUCUUUCCUUGCAAGUUAACGCUACCCUUUUCAGCUGGAACUGUUCAGCUAAUAUUUUCCCCAAAUAUCCUCUAGUAGUUGAGCCCUAUCCUUCAUCAAAUAUCACUGAAGUUGUGCUACAGGACACAAAAUGCAUACAUUAGAACAGGUAUUUUCUCCAGCCAAGCUGAUGGCAUUGUCAGGUUCAUUGCAGUGAAAUUUUGUAUGAACAUGACGCUGUUCUAAAAAAACCUGAUUAAUCUGGUGAUGAGUUUGUCCCUUCAUUGUAAAGCUACUUAACUGGAAGGGAUUUAGAGAUGUUAGAAUUUUACAUUCCAGGAACUUUGAACUGACACAUACUUUGACAAUUUGUUAAGUACUAAUGAAGAACACGAAACCACAUAACAAAAUAUGACUGAAAAUUAUACCUCUUAUAUAUGCUUGGCUUGAAAUGUAGAAGACAGACCUCCUGAAAAUUCUUCUUAAAAACAGAAAAGCAUCUUCUCUAAUAUAAGACAGAGUAUCCGUGUACAAGCGCAUGCACGUUUUAUUACUGAACUUCUAAAAUAGCAAGAUCUAUUUACUAAAUUAAAAAAGCACAACAAAAAAAGGCGAAGAAAAAAGAAUUUGGUUCUGCAGUGGGUGAGGUACAUGAAUUGCAGAGUUUGGUACAAGAUUACAAAGCAAAAUUCUUUGGAACAAUUUGGCAGUUCAUAUGCUCACAGUUGCCCCUUUCAACUUUAAAGCUGGUGAAAUGCAGUCUAUGAACUUCAUACAUUCAAAUGAUACAAAUUUACAUACACAAAUUAUACAGCUCAAGUCCAUAACCUCAACCUUUGUUAUCUUUGUCCACAGUAAUGUUACUAGGAUUCAUCU
Long non-coding RNA from Numida meleagris (helmeted guineafowl), 5659 nucleotides. RefSeq lists it as uncharacterized. NCBI's taxonomy places the organism in Eukaryota, Metazoa, Chordata, Aves, Galliformes, Numididae. The transcript has 3 exons. The record is from RefSeq and is a predicted model, not a curated record.